CUCUUCCGUGUCACAGAGCAAAUGAUCUUGGAUGUUCCACGUUGCUGGGCAUCCCAGUGUGGUUUGCUUCCCAAUGUCAUGGCUACAUUCUUCCUCGCUUACUGUCCAUGUUAUUCCUGUUCCUUCUAAUCAGCCUCGUGGCUUUCAGCUAACUUCACCUUAGUUCGUUUUACUCCCAGCCGCUGGUCUUCCUUGGUUUUUGCAGUCGUUCACCUCUGUCGUUAGCUGUUCCAGGGCCCUGUGUGGCUGCCUUUACUCUAAUCAGCCUCUGGGGCACAACUCCGAGAAGCAGGCAUUCAUGCCACCUGACGACUGAAACUGAGCCCGCGGAAGAGGCUGGGCUGCCAAUCGGAUGCACUAAGACACCAUGUGCAGGACAAGCUCAUGGAAAGGCAGCGAUAGCAGGUGUUUACUUAGCCACAGGGAAAUAUUUCUCCCCGUGUCCAGAUGUACUUGAACAAUUGGAAUCUGGGAUGUAAAGUUGAAAAACUACCAAAUUAAGGGUUUUCUGACUUUUAAAUUUUAUGACAUUAGAUUCUGCCAAGAUUGCCUGAACAAUGUGUGCUCUUUCGCUGUGCCAUUCUGAACUUACAAAAUGUUUUAUCUUUGGACAUCUCUGGUCUUAUCUUUGACAACAAGAAAUCUGGCAUCAGUUGUAAUAGUUUUUAAAUAUUUACAGUGUUCAAUAGCAAGGUUCCCCAAGAUGUAUCGAAAUUGGACUUGACUAAAAGUUUAUAUUUACAAAUAAGGAAUGUGUGUGUGUGGCAAUGCAUGGGCUGAUCCUGAAGUGGUAAAAUUAAUAGACAUUAUUCUGUAUUAGGAGAAAGACAGAAUUUCAUCUUUUUUUUUAAAGUUUAUUUUGAGAAAGAGAGAGAGAGCGCAUGUGAGCAGGGGAGGGGCAGAAAGAGAGGGAGAGAGAGAAUCCUAAGCACAGGGCUGGAAUUCACCAACUGUGAGAUCAUGACCUGAGCCAAAAACAGGAGUUGAACACUUAACCAGCUGAGCCACCCAGGCAACCCAAGAAUUUCAGCCUUUUUUUUUUUAAUUUUUUAAUAUUUAUUUAUUUUUGAGAGACAGAGAGAGCAUGAGCAUCAGAGGGGCAGAGAGAGAAGGAGACACAGAAUCCGAAGCAGGCUCCAGGCUCUGAGCUGUCAGCACAGAGCCCGAUGGGGGUUCGAACUCACAAACCGCGAGAUCAUGACCUGAGCUGAAGUCAGAUGCUUAAUGACUGAGCCACCCAGGCACUGGCGAAUUUUAUCUUUUAAUGGUAAAAGGAAAGGUGCCGUCACCAAGGUGGUGACAUAGGUUGUUCUUGACUUUGCUCCCCCUCAUAAGAAGAACAACCAAUAACUAUUCAAGAAGAUACCUCAGGGACUCCUAGAACCUGGAGGUGAGGCUAAAGCACC
This 1406-nucleotide long non-coding RNA is filed under the name Felis catus (domestic cat). RNAcentral's name for it is "lncRNA (ENSFCAG00000050568.1)". The record is from RNAcentral. Lineage: Eukaryota; Metazoa; Chordata; Mammalia; Carnivora; Felidae.